Long non-coding RNA from Clupea harengus (Atlantic herring), 560 nucleotides. The record is from Ensembl. NCBI's taxonomy places the organism in Eukaryota, Metazoa, Chordata, Actinopteri, Clupeiformes, Clupeidae.
CUCCUCGACUCAAGCUGUAAAAUAGUAUAACGGCUGCAGAAUUUCAUGUACGCCUAGAUAAGAAAAUCGCCACCCAAAACAUUACAUAAAGUAGCCUAUGGGCAACGAAAGUGGAAGUGAGUAGGGGGAGGGUUAAGUAGCUAGUUUGGGAAAGCCCCCUACUCUGUUUACUGUACCUGCGGUGCUGCACGCGACCGGCACCUGAGAGCCUGUAUUUUUGCCUCGAGAGACUGUCACGGUUGUCUUGUGUGACUUAAUCGAUGCGCAACUGCUUUGACGUAGUAAGAAAAGUGUAGAGUGCGGUAGAAGCUAGAAUGUCUACGGAAAAGAGAAGUAUUCAGGAGAGAGAGAAGCAGCUAAAGGAGGCAGCAAAGGGGAGCACAUCUUUGCAGAGUUGGUUACAAAGAAGCAAAGCAGCAGCAACCACAAGCCUCCAGACCAGAGGAUAAUGUGGACCAGGAGACACAUAGGACAGAUGAUGAGCCAAGUACAUCAACUGCAGACAAAGACAAAGAGCCAGACCCAGAUGAGAACAGAACAGACUUGGAAAACAGCGAAAG